Molecule: ribosomal RNA, 745 nt
Filed under: uncultured bacterium
Lineage: Bacteria
Description: bacterial SSU rRNA
Rfam family: Bacterial small subunit ribosomal RNA
Source: RNAcentral
ACGCUGGCGGCAGGCCUAACACAUGCAAGUCGAGCGGUAGAGAGAAGCUUGCUUCUCUUGAGAGCGGCGGACGGGUGAGUAAUGCCUAGGAAUCUGCCUGGUAGUGGGGGAUAACGUUCGGAAACGGACGCUAAUACCGCAUACGUCCUACGGGAGAAAGCAGGGGACCUUCGGGCCUUGCGCUAUCAGAUGAGCCUAGGUCGGAUUAGCUAGUUGGUGAGGUAAUGGCUCACCAAGGCGACGAUCCGUAACUGGUCUGAGAGGAUGAUCAGUCAUACUGGAACUGAGACACGGUCCAGACUCCUACGGGAGGCAGCAGUGGGGAAUAUUGGACAAUGGGCGAAAGCCUGAUCCGGCCAUGCCGCGUGUGUGAAGAAGGUCUUCGGAUCGUAAAGCACUUUAAGUUGGGAGGAAGGGUUGUAGAUUAAUACUCUGCAAUUUUGACGUUACCGACAGAAUAAGCACCGGCUAACUCUGUGCCAGCAGCCGCGGUAAUACAGAGGGUGCAAGCGUUAAUCGGAAUUACUGGGCGUAAAGCGCGCGUAGGUGGUUUGUUAAGUUGGAUGUGAAAUCCCCGGGCUCAACCUGGGAACUGCAUUCAAAACUGACUGACUAGAGUAUGGUAGAGGGUGGUGGAAUUUCCUGUGUAGCGGUGAAAUGCGUAGAUAUAGGAAGGAACACCAGUGGCGAAGGCGACCACCUGGACUAAUACUGACACUGAGGUGCGAAAGCGUGGGGAGCAAAC